This 503-nucleotide ribosomal RNA is filed under the name uncultured Glomus. Its description in RNAcentral is "SSU rRNA". It matches the Rfam family "Eukaryotic small subunit ribosomal RNA", at positions 569 to 1074 of the family's 1831-position model. Lineage: Eukaryota; Fungi; Glomeromycota; Glomeromycetes; Glomerales; Glomeraceae. The record is from RNAcentral.
AGCAGCCGCGGUAAUUCCAGCUCCAAUAGCGUAUAUUAAAGUUGUUGCAGUUAAAAAGCUCGUAGUUGAAUUUCGAGAUCAGUACGCUGGUCGUGCCUUCGGUAUGCACUGGUGUCACUGGUUUCUCCCUUCUGAAGAACCGUCAUGCCAUUCAGUUGGUGUGGCGGGGAAUCAGGACUGUUACUUUGAAAAAAUUAGAGUGUUUAAAGCAGGCUCGCGCUUGAAUACAUUAGCAUGGAAUAAUGAAAUAGGACGUUUGACCCUAUUCUGUUGGUUUCUAGGAUCGACGUAAUGAUUAAUAGGGAUAGUUGGGGGCAUUAGUAUUCAAUUGUCAGAGGUGAAAUUCUUGGAUUUAUUGAAGACUAACUACUGCGAAAGCAUUUGCCAAGGAUGUUUUCAUUAAUCAAGAACGAAAGUUAGGGGAUCGAAGACGAUCAGAUACCGUCGUAGUCUUAACCAUAAACUAUGCCGACUAGGGAUCGGAUGAUGUUAAUUUUUAAUGA